GAAAAAUUUAUUUAAAUUAUUAGUUAAUAUUUAAUAUUUAAUAAAAAUAUUUUUUUUUUUUUUAUAAAUUUAGAUAAAAUUAUUAGUAAUUAUAGUUAAAUAUGUAUAGAGAUAGAAUAUUGAAAAAAUUUUUGAAAAAUAAAAUUUUGAAAAGAAAAUUUAAAUUAUUGUACCUUGUGUAUCAGGGUUUAUUAAAUAAUAGUUAUAAAGUUUAAUUUUCUCGAAUUUAAAAGAGCUAAAAAAUUAUAAAUUUUAUUGUAAAAUAAAUAUUUAUAAUAAUUUUUUAGAAAUGAAACGUUAUUCGUUUUUAAAUUUAUCUAGUUUUUUAAGAAAUGAAUUUAAUUCAGUUAUUUAUUGUUAUAUAGAUAUUUAAAUAUUUAAGUAAAAUAAUUAAUAAAUAUUUUAAGGGAUAAGCUUUAAAAUAAAAUUUAAUAAAUAUAAAUUGGAUUUUAAAAUUUAUAGAAGUGGAAGUAUUAGUUUUAAGUUAGUGUGUUAUAACAAAUUUUGUUUGAAUUAUGAUUUUUAUAUUAUUUUUAAUUAUUUAUUAAAAUUAUUAAUUUAAUUAUUAAAUUAAUGUAAUAAUGAUAAAAUUAGUAUAAUUUUAUGUUUAAUUUUUUUUUUAAUAAAGGUUAAAUUAAGGAACUCGGCAAAUAAUUUUUUCGCCUGUUUAUUAAAAACAUGUCUUUUUGAUGAUAAUUUAAAGUCUGACCUGCCCUAUGAUAAAGUUUAUUAAAUGGCUGCGAUAGUUUGAUCGUACAAAGGUAGCAUAAUAAUUAGUUUUUUAAUUGAGAACUGGUAUGAAAGGUCGAACGAAAAAAAAACUGUCUCAAUUUAAUUUUCAUUAGAAUUUUAUUUUUAAGUAAGAAAGCUUAAAUAAUUUUAAAAGACGAGAAGACCCUAUAGAGUUUUAUAUUUAUAAGUUUAUUUUUUAGUUUUAGAAUUUAUUUUAUAAAUUGAUUAAUAAAUAUUUAAUUGGGGUGAUUAAAAAAUUAAAUGAACUUUUUUUAUAAAUUUAACAUUAAUAAAUGAUUAAAUGAUCCAUAUAUAAUGAUUAAAAGAUUAAAUUACCUUAGGGAUAACAGCGUAAUUUUUUUUAAGAGUUCUUAUCGAAAAAAAAGUUUGCGACCUCGAUGUUGGAUUAAAAUUAACUUUUGGUGUAGAAGCUAAAAUAGUUAGGUCUGUUCGACCUUUAAAAUUUUACAUGAUCUGAGUUUAAACCGGUGUAAGCCAGGUUGGUUUCUAUCUUUAAAUGUUUAAAAUAUUUUAGUACGAAAGGAUCAAAUAUUUGUUAUAAUAAUUAAUUUAAGAAUAUUAUUAAUUAAAAAUUACUUUGGCAGAAUAGUGUUUUAAAUUUAGAAUUU
This 1361-nucleotide ribosomal RNA is filed under the name Onthophagus rorarius. RNAcentral describes it as "16S ribosomal RNA". The stretch from base 1075 to 1234 matches the Rfam family "Archaeal large subunit ribosomal RNA", at positions 2544 to 2703 of the family's 2987-position model. The record is from RNAcentral. Lineage: Eukaryota; Metazoa; Arthropoda; Insecta; Coleoptera; Scarabaeidae.